GUACACUAAGAACUGUGUCAACAAGAAAGUAGGUCAUUCAUAGACUACUUGUGUUGGUUUGGUGUCGUGUGCUUCACUGUCAUCUGUUUUACUGUCGUCUGAUUCAUGCUUCAGUAUAUAUAAGACCUUUGUCUGACGACCCUUAUUGUCCUCAUUUGGUAUAUACAAGACCUCUGAAGUCCCUAUCUUGUCCUGUGAACACCUAGCCGAUGGACGUUUUUGUUUUGAAUCUUGCCUUUCAUGAUUGCAAAAAGAAGGACCAUUCCUAGUUUCUUUCACAUGCUGCUAGAAGCAGGUGCGAGUUUAUGAGGGGAGUGCCUCAUUAUUCACAGCAGAAUCGUUUGCAGCGCGAGAAAGAAAUCAGGACUAAUUGCUGAUGAUAUCACCACAGUAGAGCAUCGACCGGGCAUCUGAUUUCACGUGAUUUCCUGACACGGAUGAUUGACUUCACGUGAAAUUCCGACGUGGAGACGUGACGACCCACUUUUGCAUCAGGCCGCCUCCAAGACGCGAGCAUCGUGGGGUGGGGUGGGAGGUCGCCUCUACAAGUGGAGAACACAGAAAGUUUCCGUGAGUGGCCCACUCUGCCAACACCGCGCUCGUCCAUCGACCCUGACUGCAGUCAAGCCACGCGGCGCCCCGAGCUGUGGAGUGUCCGUGGUGCUGUGGACUGGUCACAACGGCUGCAGGACACCUACGGCCGCUGAAGGCCUGCAAUCGCCUGCUGACCACGGUGCCGGACCAGGAGCGGGGGACAAACAAAACUGACAUGGUGUUCCAUUCAUGCAGCAAGGAAACCUCCAUUGGAUCUUAUUCAUCCAGUCUGGGAUACGUAUGCGGGAGCAAGAUAAGAACUGGAGUUCAGUGAGAGUGAGGACUCAGCCCGAGAGGUCGACGAGUUGCCGAGUGACUGGAGCUCGCCCCUAGACUGACAACGACACUCUGCUGGCCACACCAUGAGCCUCAUUCUGACGUGUUGAGGUGUCAGCUCCAUUGUGCAGACCUGUGAGGGCACAUCGUCACAUCACCACUGUUGGUUCCUUGUCUUUGCUCUGACGUCAUCGAGGCUGCAGCUGAGAGGACUGACGUCACAUUGUCAUGGACUGACCACCGCCCGCGAUUCGAGCGUGACGUCAUUGGCAUUUCCCUGACGCAGUGAGCGAAGAGGACGUCAGCAUGAGGCCUGCGGUGCACGCUAGCAUUCUGCGCAACCGCAGUGUGCGGUCACGGCGCGUGAUGAGGCCUCACUCGUUCUCGAUGAGGCGCCUGCUGCUGCUGUCGUUCGUGGGCGCCCUCCUCUUCAUCCCCGGCAUCGUGCUGACCAUCGUGGGCUUCGAAAAGACAGCAGACGAGCUCAGCGCCAUGCCGCCGGGACAGAGGAUAAUGUACCAGGCCAUCGGACCAGGCCUGUGCACCCUGGGUGUCUUGGUACUCUUCUCCGCCUGCAUCUACUACUACUGCUUCGGAACUGGAGACUCACUCCGCUUCCCGGGAGGCUCGCACCAGGGCUCCGUCAUCUCGGACCACGAGCACAGCAGCCUGCGCAAGUGCGCACCGAGUCACCAGCCGCACGUGCAGCUGCAGGACGACAGUCAAGCUCAACACGCCCGACGGCUCGCUGCGCAGGAGCUUCAAAGACCUGGACAUCGGCGGCGCCAACAACGGUCAGCGAGACGAGGAGAACGUGCCGCUGGCCAGCGCCGACCAGACCGGGGGAGACAAUCAGUCAGUGUGAGGAGCCCUUCUCAACGUACUUCUCGCUUUCUAUUUCCCUAACGAAAUAUACUGGUGGUAAGCUCCUAAUUCAACAGGCACGUAGUCACAAGGUAACCAGGAGAAUAAUGAAAACAUUAACAAUAUACUUUCAUGAUAAUGACAUAAUCUCGAUAUAAUCAGGUUACAUUCACGAAUUGAAGACCUAACUGUGUCAAGCAAGCCAUGCCGAAAAAUGUCCAGUUACUUACUGAGAGCGUUAUGCAAACUCAUUGUUUUGCCAGGUCAAAGACGCUGCCGCCAGUUGCGGUUGUGGUAGAUGAGGAUGCCUGUGGGGAGGCCGCCAACGGAAAUCGAGAAAGUGAACACGUGGGCAAUGGAGAAAUUCGUGCCAAGGAGCCGGCGGUUUAAGAGACGCUGUGCACAGCGCUAACCAUUUUUUUUUUUUCGCUCCCGUCGUUUUGUUACAAGCAAGAACUCGGUGUCACAAAAUACUCCCCCUUUUUGCCAUUCCUUCUUCUUUUCCAGCACAUUCUACUUCUGUACUCCCAGUCCUACUGACUCGCUCAACUCGUGUGGCCUUUUGAUAACAUACGGCAGAGUAAUACGACUGCUGGGCAGCUAACGCCAUCUGGCGGCGGUGAUGCACGACGGAGCUGGGCGACCUCUUGCCAUCCCAUUAUUCCUCAGCUGCGAUGUCAUUUCCUUUUGCGGAGAACGUUCUGUUUUCCUAUUUACAACCAGCAGACGAACGUGUCAUCUAAUCACGACAUUACUUCCCGCUGCUGACGAUUCAAAACUGACGGGCGGGAAGAAGCGAUGACAGGCGAUGAUCCACUAGAUGUGGGACACGAUGAACAUGACCGUGCACACGCUGUGGGGAGGAUCUUUUCUUCAGGCCCACGGUUACAUCGCCACGGCCAUCGGCUUAUUAUCUACAGCGACUGGAAGUGAUAAUGACUCAAAACCAUUAGGUUAUGCUCCUUUCUGGGGUCUAGCUUAGCACCAAAUACCGUGUGAGUUGUGUAAACAACAGCAGCGUAUUGAGUAAACAAUAUAUUUAGCUACAGACGUUACAUUAUCUUCUUUCAAGAAAAUUCUGAGACGUAGUAAUUUUGGUUUGUCAGUGAUACCAGAAAAACAUUUCUAGUGUCUAGAAAAUAAGAGUGUAGAAAGUAUUAUAAAAAUUUUUAAAUCACAAUUUCAUAGAAACUUUGAUGGCAAGGAGAGACAAUCUCAACGCAAUUGUGCCUUUUUCUUUCCCUCUUGUGAACAAGAGUCGAUAAUGGGGAGAUGACGUAGCACUGUGAUGAGGAGCCUAUGGUUGGCGGUAGUCUGCCAGUAGCAGUAACGAUGGUACGUAGGGUAGAGUAGGCAGAGUUUUCACGAGAAUGUAGGCGGAGAUGUGUAAUUGUCAUCGCAAGCCCCAACACGCAUUGCCCUAUCAAUCCUACUUCCUUCAAUAGUCGAUGACAGCGACACCUGAUGCAUGACGGGAGGACGUGGCUUGUGUCUGGCGUGACAGUAAGUUGUGGAGACGAGAGUGGUUGAUCCUCACAAUCAAUAGCUUCCGGUCGUAUACAGUGUCACGCACGUACCUGGCCAGCUCUCUCGCCGCUGUUACUCACUCUAGCAGAUUAGGCGGAAGUGACGUCAUCGCGACAGGUCUUCUCGCUGGCCAAUAGAAACUGCACACGAAGCUGGCAACGGUAUCACACGCCUUUGGACAGAUGCCACGUGUAAAGUAACUAUGACAACUGUGGAGUCUUCUCUGCUGCUUUACAAAUUUUGUUCCUGUCACCUGCCUGCCCGCACCUUACUUGGCCAAACUUGGGAAACUCAGAUCGCCAUGCUGCUUCCGCGACAUACUUCAAUGCAUUGCAAGAUAGAGCUAGGCACGUUGGCUAGGAAUCACUGCUAGACAAGCCUAGCUAGGUCUUGUUGCUGUAUUUGCAAGGACUGUCGUUGAAACUUAUCAAAUUUAUUUCUUCCUUUGCACUUCAAGGAAAUUUCAGUCUACGUACGAAUUUCUGAUCGUCAAUCGCUUGUAGUGGUCCCUUGACAUGGGGAGCUUUGUCACCUUGUAGAUGGAGUACUGGUCUGGAACUGCAUGAAAUAUUGCUCUGAGAAAUGGUGUGACAUCACGUGUGAGAAAAGUACAGCAUGUCACUCGAGGCACAGCCGCCACGGUCGACUGACUCUUGGUUUUCCUUCCAACCUCAUGACGUCCUCUUGGAGCAUCGCCUCUGUCCUGCUUUGUGAGCAUUGUGCAGGGUCAUUGCCACAAACACUUGUUUUUAAAAUGUGCAUGUGCGUAGAAGUGGUCAUGUUGAUAUGUGUCAAGUUGUAAAUGUUUUUCUAUUUCAAUUUGUAUGUAAAUGUGUGCGCGUACAUUUCAACUGCUUCUUAUACGAGCACUUCUCUCAACUUCUAGCUCACCUUCAUCUUAAUGUGCGGGCGUUCUGCUCCUUGUUUAUGUUUGAUUGUUUGUUUCUUUAAAUGGCGCCCGGCUCAUCGUAUGAUCGGUGCUUGUUUGUAAGACAGUCUACACUAGCUGUAAUGUAGAAACUUGCUGAUGCUGGCACGGGUCCACCUUUAAGUCUUUGCAAGAUGAAACAUUCGAAACCUACACAGCUGCUUACUUUGGAUGUUACUCGUUUUGACAAAUUCAUUUUCAGUGAUGUACUCCUAUACUUAAUUUCUUUUUUUGUUAAAUCUCUUGUUGGGGUCUAUAAAACUUAUAAAAAGUGUUUUUGAGAAACAUGGGGGUGGCGGGAAUGUUAGGGUGAUGUUUAUACAAAACUGAAUUGCAUCGGACUGAAUGCUAACCCACCGCACGAUGAAUUAAUGUAUCAAGGAAAUUUCACUUCGGCGAAGAAAGAAGAAGAAGAAAAAAAUUCCCACGUUUCUACGGGAUUUUUAUUUCACUGUUGAUGGAGACAAGAAAGAAAACUUUUUAAACGGAAAAUGUGAACCGUUCGUGAAAAAAGAUGGCUGAGAGAAUACAAGGGAGACAAUUAUUGGGUUUUGUGUUUUUGGCUUUCUCCGCCGGCGGAGAGGCUGUCAGGAGCAUUUGGCAUCAUGGGAUGGGGAGCGGCGGAGGGCACAGUCACGUGUUUCAAUUGCUGUGGUCCAGAAGGAGAGGGCACUUGCUGGUGUCCGGGAGCCUGAGUGGGCCAAGCUUGCGUAUAACACAGGACACGCACACCUCCACAGGUCGUGACCUCUGUGAUGAAGGUCCAGUUGUCUGUUGCAAGACGACCAUACCAAGAGCCACUUCGUAUGUCACGUGGUAGCACCCUGAAAGACUGACACGUUGUGAGGUUCAACUGCCGUGUCACUGACAGCGCCAAUAUGACUGUCAUAGUCAGGUUAUCAGAGUACAUCAGCCUCAGCCGCAGUGACAAUGGGACUUUCAAACAAAAUUACCGCAUGUUUCGAAAACCGCUGGCACAACAAGCCCGGCAACAUGAUUCCAAAAGAUGUAACUGAAAAUACUGGGCAACUUUGUGUGUAUCUUGCGAUGUAAGACACGGACAGAGUAUUUCCCAGAAACAACGUAUUUCUGUCAGCAAGACGCGUGCAAGCUGUUCGUUGUGUUCUGAUAUCUGUAAUUAUUAUCAUAUUCCACGCUUUUUUUUCUUAAUGUGAACAAAAGUAUUGAAAAUGCUUCUGUUGUCAGACAUCUUGUUGCGAUCACCACUUCAUUGACACUGUGUCAACCAGCUGGGCUGUUUCUAGACUUUGUUGUGGAUGCACUUUAACAAAAAAUAAUGUUUUUUAUUACUGUGAUCAUUGUUUUCAAUGGGCAGAAGUUUCUUCCUUCCCCUACAUCCCGUUUGUCGCCAGUUAUGUGUCGUGUACAUUUAUUUUAAAAAAAACUAAUAAUUGCGAAACAAUUUAUCAUUUAUGUAAUGUUAUCUGUAAUGUAUAUUGUGCAAGACAUUCACGCCACUUCAAACCGGAAGUUGUAUGUUAUGAAUUAUUCAUCCUUACACAUAUUUGUUACAAGCGUAGCGACUCAGCCAAUCGCACAAUGACAAAUAUGUCACGUGGUUUCUACCCUCGUUUUCUUCGAACUGCUGUUGGACGCAAGGAAAUUAAUCAGUGUAGUAACCUUUUUUUUAAAUCCAGAGUCUUUCAGUUCUAUGUUAUUAGUGACGAUGCCUGUGACCGCAUAUUUUAAAUACUUUUCCUUCUUACUUUUGUUUGGCGUCUUUAACUGUAGCCAGCUGUGAUUAAGACACUCGUUAAUGAUGUUUCUUGCAUGUUGUGAAGUCCCCGAUGAAGUUACUUUUAAUGGCAUUUCGUAAAUCGAUAUCAAUUAUCUUCUUUGCUUCGGAACAAUCGGCAAACAUCAAACUGCACUUUAGAAGGAAGCUGAGAAGAGAUCGAUCUCUAUUGCUUGCCUGCCUCCCUCCUCUCUCUCUUUACCUCCCUCAGUCCCAUCCCCAUCCCCAUCCAUCACCUGCAGCUACUCUUCAAUACUCGGCCUGAAUCUGUUGCUGUUUCACUGACUACUACUGCUGUGCACACCUUGCGAAAAAUGUGCAGUCACUUUAAAAUAUACAUAUAUAUAUUUAUAUUUUUUACGACAACCUGUUUCUCAAUGUGUUUGUAUGCAUGCGGGUGUGCAUUUGCGCUCGAGCGCAAGUGAUGUAGAUAUUAGAGGGAAAACAGACAGAUACAGUUAAUGAACACACUUUCUCUACUUUCUAUUUCCCCGAGAAAUAUUAUUUAUUUUUUUCCGACAGAAUACUUAAUCCAUCCGAUCAGUCUUUUGUUCUGGUCCUCUGGAUUUCUUUCUCUUCCUCUUUCAGACACGGUAAGUCGGGUUUUAGGAACAAAAAAUAAAAGGUCUCGAACUCACCCAAGUCCUAAAGCUGUUUUAGUCUUGUGACAAACCACUUUAUUUCUCCUCUUUCAUGGUCCCUGUAGAUAGUACAGGAAUGGUUUCCACUUCAUUUCUUUUAACUGCUUUUGAGUGCCUUGCGUGACCAAGUUCGUGUGAGUGAUGUGUAACUUUGUCGGGGUGGACCGAGGUUUAUGUCGGCUUCACGUCCUUCGCAUGUUCCCCGAAGUAUAUGGCGGUUUCACAUGGUUCACCCAAUAUGUUUACCGAGGUUUAUGAUGGUUUCGCAUCAUGCCUGUGUCACAUGGUUCACCCAAUAUGUUUAGUCUGGUUUCAGCUCGUGUCGCCACGAGAACAUGUUUUUCACUUUUAUCUACCAGACGGCGUCUUCCUCGUACGUUUGAUACAAGUUGACGACCUUGUUGAUGUUCUGUGUUGUACUCGACUGAGUAAAUGGACUCUUCUGCUGUGAAGUGUCUUAUCUGGUUAUUUUAAUCUGCGUUGUCAGCCGAACAUCUGGGUGCAAUGUUGUCAUAAAAUGUUCAGUGCCGCGUGUUCGUCUGUUUUUGAUACACGCUUCCCUCUUUUCAUUUCCCGAAAGCUGUCAUGCGCAGUGCGUACACAACUGACCUUCGGUGUCCUGUCUUGUUUCCAGUCCGACUGAUUUGCUUCACAUUUCUUAAGACAGUUUUACAGUUUUGAAGUCCACGAUGAUGUACCUAGAAUGCUUCAGUGAGUCGCCGUAGAACUGUUUCGAUGCUGUGGACAAUACAUCAGAGAUCAGUUCGAAAUCCCUGUACCUUGUAGACUUCCGUUAUGAUGUCGAUGACCAUACAUCAUCUCACAAUGUGGGUAGACAGGCUGUAAACUCGGCUUUAAACACGUUCUUUAAGCAUGCUGAUAGAACGACCCGAAGAUGCGUUUCACAUGGACCGCCAUGCUAAUUUAAAACGUACUUUCGUAGCUCCGAUUGACGUAGGUCAGGGGGUCAGCUGACCCACUCCAACCACUGAAGAAGAUGGCUGAAGUUUGUCUUCCUGUAACUGAUAAUUUAUCGUAUAUCUCGCAUUUUUUGUUUUACAGAAUCUCUUACUUCCACAUAAGAACAGUAGCUCCUGCUCUCAUGGCAACGGCAAGAAAGUUUAUUUAACCAACAUUUUUUUUCUAAGCGCUGGUUAUAUGGCACGCGAUAGUUUUCUUCCAUGUCGGAGUAUCUCAGACAAAAUGAUUUUCCUGCUGAACAAUUUGGGAUACGGCUAAUGAAGAAAUGAAGGUGUUCGAAGAGGGAAACCAUGUUGACCUUUUCAAAUACAAUAGAAACCUACAGGUACCUAACUUCUGGUUUAAAUUCUGGUUGAAGUUCUAUCAAUGGAAAGUCUUAGAAAUGCUUGUGGCUACUGGAUGCAACGAACAGCACGUGAAGGAGAUACAACCCUGAGAUGGGUUAUUGCCAGGUCACAGACACUAACACAUCCCGUGUAUACCUACGUACAAACUCACCGCUGUUAGAGAGGCUCAUCUUGCUUUGUUUUUGAGUCAAGACCGGUUGACCAGGUGUUUCAACUACCUAGGAGACCAACUGCCCUCGUGACAGGAAACACACACUAGCUAAUACUCAGUUGCACUGACCUUCGCCUUGUUUCUGCUUAUUAAAUGUACAUUCGUCAUUGCAUCGUUCGAUGAUUCUUACCGUACGAUAAACUGCGAUAGUCAACAUUUUUACAGUUGAUAAAAAACGCAUUGAAGAUUUUCUGUAAUUUCUGUCGUUUCAAAGCUUUUUAUAUCAUUUACACUUUAUUCUCCUUGCAAAGAUGUAGACAAUAUUACUUUAGUGAGCUCUUUUCGAUGUUACCAGUGCAAGCUACCUCCCGUGAAAACAAACAGCUGUGAAGUUUGUUGUAAAUUAAAUAUUGUAUUAUGCAGUGGUCGGGUAGCGCCAUCAAUAAACCAUCGUUUGGAUAAAAUCCAAAAGAAGAGUAUUCUAUAUUUGAUCAAAUUGGUUCGAAUGGUUAAAAAAAAAAAAAAAUAGAAAUUUAUGUCGACAGAGAACACUUAGCACAAUGAGUGUUCAAUUUUAAGUGUAACCGAUCUGAAAGGAAAACGCGUUUCGGGGAAAACACUAAUUAUAUUAGCAUUUCUCUGUUGUGUUUUUUAAAAAGCCAGUCACAGUACAGGCUGGAGGUGGGCUGCAGUGGCUUGUCACGACUAAUACUAGAAAAAUUCACGUAUUACAUGAUCCUGCAUUUUGCAGAAUCGUAAAUAUUUGCCAAAGUGAAGAAAAGUUUUCUUGAUGGUCCCCUUAGAUUUUUGUGAGGUCCUGGACACAGAAAUUAAUAAAGGUUACUAAAUUAUCAGCCAGUUGUAUCUAUUAAUGAAGGUUACUUGAUGUACAUGCAGAUGACAUUUUGUCUGCGCUGUUUAAAUGUCACACUCUACACCGCGGCACACUUCAUUAUACUUGUCAUUCACAAAUUUACCCCACUUCACGUUGACUUUGUAACUUUCUCCGGCAUUCCAGCCCUCGUUUCUUGUGGGAAGAUUUUCUGACUUGCUUCCUGUACGUCGUGCACUUGCUAGUCCUCGUGCUCACCGUUUGAAUGAAUUUUGAAUAAAUAUAAGUCAGAAACGCUAUAGGUGUAAAGGUCUCCAACAAGCUGUUUGUAUUUACAGCCUUCAGUAACCAGAUUUGACAUCGAGUGGGCGGUGCUGUGAGGCUACUGCCGCUUCCAGACGCCAGGCUUCACGUGCGCAGUCGCAGCAGUUGCAUGCAGUUACCUAGCAGUUAGUUACAAAUGUUCAUUUUUACAAGUUAGCAUACUGCUACCUAGCAGUUAGUUACAAAUGUUCAUUUUAUAAGCUAGCAUGCUGCUACCUAGCAGUUAGUUACAAAUGUUCAUUUUUACAAACUAGCAUGCUGCAAGAAUGACCGUCAGGGACGCCAGUUAACGUGUUUUGUCAACGCCGGCUGUCACCUCAUGGCGUGUGCCGACACUUGCAGUUGAAGCCUUCAGUCACCGCUGAUUCAAAUCAUCUGGCAGGGGGUAAACUAUUGAGUAUACAUUUUGUGCAGAUAUUGACUUGUGACAACAAGUAGCUCUCCUGGCGUAGGGGAAGACAAGCAUGGAUGCAUGAAGAAGGACACGAAACGAAAUGGCGAAAAAGUGUAUUUUUGUUCUCGCUGUAGACUUCUGUAAUACUCUGCUUAAUAGUUCUUGGUUAUUCACCUAGCAAAGCAAGCAUGUACAUCAAUGAAAGAGGUAAUCUAAAAGAUGUUUUUUCUUCCAAUGUGAAGAAUGUGGGUGGAUGAUAUUAUUUAGGCACUCGUUCACACUACCUGCCCUUACAAGAUACCAAUUUAAGGAUGCUCUACUGUUAAUUUUACUUUAAAUUACUUAUUUUACUAGCUCAUAAUUUGUUUGAACUCACAUCAGUUUGCAUGUGAUCUGCAUAAUACAAGCAUUUAUGCCUGCACUUUUUGACUGAAUAUGAAAAAUGUCCUCCUAGCAUCAAGCUAGAGGUUUUCAUCGUUUCUUACCCUAUAUCAAUGAUUUACUGUGCGUAUUAAAAGGUGUUGCGCAA
Pomacea canaliculata is the source of this 10144-nucleotide long non-coding RNA. RefSeq lists it as uncharacterized. NCBI's taxonomy places the organism in Eukaryota, Metazoa, Mollusca, Gastropoda, Architaenioglossa, Ampullariidae. The record is from RefSeq and is a predicted model, not a curated record. The transcript is spliced from 4 exons.